GAUAAACGUUGGCGGCGUGCCUAAUGCAUGCAAGUCGCAUGAGGGCUUCGGCCCUAGUGGCGGACGGGUGAGUACCACGUACGAAUCUGCCCGGAGGUGGGGGACAACUUCCCGAAAGGGAAGCUAAUACCGCAUACGGUCUACGGACCAAAGCCGAAAGGCGCCACCGGAGGAGCGUGCGGCGGAUUAGCUAGUUGGUGGGGUAACGGCCUACCAAGGCGACGAUCCGUAGCUGGUCUGAGAGGAUGGUCAGCCACACUGGGACUGAGAUACGGCCCAGACUCCUACGGGAGGCAGCAGCAAGGAAUUUUGCACAAUCGACGCAAGUCGGAUGCAGCAACGCCGCGUGGGGGAUGAAGGCUCUCGGGUUGUAAACCCCUUUUGCGAGGGAAGAAGAUCUGACGGUACCUCGCGAAUAAGUCACGGCUAACUACGUGCCAGCAGCCGCCGUAA
RNAcentral lists this ribosomal RNA (453 nucleotides) under uncultured bacterium. RNAcentral describes it as "partial 16S ribosomal RNA". It matches the Rfam family "Bacterial small subunit ribosomal RNA", at positions 28 to 523 of the family's 1533-position model. The record is from RNAcentral.